CCCAUCUCAUCCAAUGGUUAUUUUUUCCCCAUACAAACCAUAUAAAAUACAAAUAUAACCUUAACCCUAAACCUAAAUUAAACAAGACCAGCGGCAACCCCUCAUUUCUGCCGUCGCGCGACCACUCUAACCCGCCGGAGAGUCCCUCCAAUCAUUACAUGGUCUCCCCCUCGCUGGUACCCUCCUUCCAUGUCACAUUUAUCACGUGUUUUCCUUUUUUCUUGGAUGGAUUUGAGGUUAAUGGGAGCCUUAGGAUCAAGGAUUUUGAUCCUAGUCAUCCAUUUGCCAAAAAUCCGUCCACUUGAAAGAGAUCUACGGGCUUAGGUCGUUUUUUGGAGUACAAGAACAGAAGAUUCGAGAGGGGUAUAUAUAAUUAGGGAUUUUCGGAUAGAAAGGGGGAAGAUUUUUUUAGACUGGAUAAAUUAGGGUUCUUUUUAGCUUCUUUGGAGAUUUUCUGUGUAGUUUGGCAUUAAAAUAAAUAGGAAAAAAAUCAGUUGUGCUUAGAUGUUUAUCCCUUGAAGCUUUUGUCUGUGUGCUUUGGAUGCCCGGU
Molecule: long non-coding RNA, 550 nt
Filed under: Nicotiana benthamiana
Lineage: Eukaryota; Viridiplantae; Streptophyta; Magnoliopsida; Solanales; Solanaceae
Description: long non-coding RNA (NBEN_LNC032137)
Source: RNAcentral